GACGAACGCUGGCGGCGUGCUUAAAACAUGCAAGUCGAACGGUGACGUCCCGAUUUAUCGGGACCGAGCAGUGGCGCACGGGUGCGUAACACGUGAACAACCUGCCGCGCGGUGGGGGAUACCGCCUCGAAAGGGGCGUUAAUACCGCAUAGGCCGGUCCGGGGCCUCCCGGACCGGGGAAAGCCGCAAGGCGCCGGGUGAGGGGUUCGCGGCCUAUCAGCUAGUUGGUGCGGUAACGGCGCACCAAGGCGACGACGGGUCGCCGGCCUGAGAGGGUGGCCGGCCACACUGGGACUGAGACACGGCCCAGACUCCUACGGGAGGCAGCAGUAAGGAAUAUUGGGCAAUGGUCGAAAGACUGACCCAGCCAUGCCGCGUGCAGGAUGAAGGCCCUAUGGGUUGUAAACUGCUUUUAGCCGGGAAUAAACACCCGUUUUAUAACGGGCCCGAAGGUACCGGCUGAAUAAGCAUCGGCUAACUCCGUG
This 485-nucleotide ribosomal RNA is filed under the name uncultured bacterium. Its description in RNAcentral is "bacterial SSU rRNA". It matches the Rfam family "Bacterial small subunit ribosomal RNA", at positions 28 to 507 of the family's 1533-position model. The record is from RNAcentral.